CCUACGGGAGGCUGCAGUGGGGAAUAUUGCACAAUGGGGGAAACCCUGAUGCAGCAACGCCGCGUGAGUGAAGAAGUAUUUCGGUAUGUAAAGCUCUAUCAGCAGGGAAGAAGAUGACGGUACCUGAGUAAGAAGCCCCGGCUAACUACGUGCCAGCAGCCGCGGUAAUACGUAGGGGGCAAGCGUUAUCCGGAUUUACUGGGUGUAAAGGGAGCGUAGACGGUGAGACAAGUCUGAAGUGAAAGCCCGGGGCUCAACCCCGGGACUGCUUUGGAAACUGCCUGACUGGAGUGCUGGAGAGGCAAGCGGAAUUCCUAGUGUAGCGGUGAAAUGCGUAGAUAUUAGGAAGAACUCCGAUUGCGAAGGCAGCAUACCGGCGCUCAACUGACGCUCAUGCACGAAAGCGUGGGUAUCGAACAGGAUUAGAUACCCCAGUAGUC
This 440-nucleotide ribosomal RNA is filed under the name uncultured bacterium. RNAcentral's name for it is "partial 16S ribosomal RNA". It matches the Rfam family "Bacterial small subunit ribosomal RNA", at positions 338 to 795 of the family's 1533-position model. The record is from RNAcentral.